This 1010-nucleotide ribosomal RNA is filed under the name Paenibacillus sp. N67807VB02_16S_27f. RNAcentral's name for it is "bacterial SSU rRNA". It matches the Rfam family "Bacterial small subunit ribosomal RNA", at positions 71 to 1063 of the family's 1533-position model. The record is from RNAcentral. Lineage: Bacteria; Bacillati; Bacillota; Bacilli; Caryophanales; Paenibacillaceae.
UUUGGAAGCUUGCUUCCGAAGCAACCUAGCGGCGGACGGGUGAGUAAUACGUAGGCAACCUGCCCCUCAGCCUGGGAUAACUAGCGGAAACGUUAGCUAAUACCGGAUAAUUUGCUUCAUCGCAUGAAGGAGCAAUGAAAGACGGAGCAAUCUGUCACUAAGGGAUGGGCCUACGGCGCAUUAGCUAGUUGGUAGGGUAAUGGCCUACCAAGGCGACGAUGCGUAGCCGACCUGAGAGGGUGAACGGCCACACUGGGACUGAGACACGGCCCAGACUCCUACGGGAGGCAGCAGUAGGGAAUCUUCCGCAAUGGACGCAAGUCUGACGGAGCAACGCCGCGUGAGUGAUGAAGGUUUUCGGAUCGUAAAGCUCUGUUGCCAGGGAAGAACGUCUUGGAGAGUAACUGCUCUAAGAGUGACGGUACCUGAGAAGAAAGCCCCGGCUAACUACGUGCCAGCAGCCGCGGUAAUACGUAGGGGGCAAGCGUUGUCCGGAAUUAUUGGGCGUAAAGCGCGCGCAGGCGGCCAUUUAAGUCUGGUGUUUAAUCCCGGGGCUCAACUCCGGGUCGCACUGGAAACUGGGUGGCUUGAGUGCAGAAGAGGAGAGUGGAAUUCCACGUGUAGCGGUGAAAUGCGUAGAGAUGUGGAGGAACACCAGUGGCGAAGGCGACUCUCUGGGCUGUAACUGACGCUGAGGCGCGAAAGCGUGGGUAGCAAACAGGAUUAGAUACCCUGGUAGUCCACGCCGUANACGAUGAAUGCUAGGUGUUAGGGGUUUCGAUACCCUUGGUGCCGAAGUAAACACAUUAAGCAUUCCGCCUGGGGAGUACGGUCGCAAGACUGAAACUCANAGGAAUUGACGGGGACCCGCACAAGCAGUGGAGUAUGUGGUUUAAUUCGAAGCAACGCGAAGAACCUUACCAGGUCUUGACAUCCCUCUGACCCCUCUAGAGAUAGAGGUUUCCUUCGGGACANAGGNAACAGGUGGUGCAUGNUUGUCGUCAGCUCNG